This 72-nucleotide transfer RNA is filed under the name Hordeum vulgare. Its description in RNAcentral is "tRNA-OTHER". The record is from RNAcentral. Lineage: Eukaryota; Viridiplantae; Streptophyta; Magnoliopsida; Poales; Poaceae.
GAGGUGUAGUGUAGUGGUAGCGCGUUGUGGUUGACAGACCCACAUCGUGGGUUCGAUCCCCUCAGCGCCUCU